GGAGAAAUGGCGGAAUUGGUAGACGUUAGAAAGCUAUGCAGAUACUCGUUGCACUUCACACUGUAAGUGGCCAAUCGGUUGGAACGCUGCAAUCCCGGUUCGAGUCCGGGUUUCUCCA
This 118-nucleotide transfer RNA is filed under the name Bacteroides cellulosilyticus. Its description in RNAcentral is "tRNA-OTHER". It matches the Rfam family "tRNA". From Rfam's summary of the family: Transfer RNA (tRNA) molecules are approximately 80 nucleotides in length. Their secondary structure includes four short double-helical elements and three loops (D, anti-codon, and T loops). Lineage: Bacteria; Pseudomonadati; Bacteroidota; Bacteroidia; Bacteroidales; Bacteroidaceae. The record is from RNAcentral. RNAcentral also lists the same sequence under 1 other name.